CACCGCGGUUAUACGAGAGACCCAAGUUGAUAGCCCCCGGCGUAAAGCGUGGUUAAGUUAAAACUAAAACUAAAGCCGAACACCUUCAAGGCUGUUAUACGCACCCGAAGACAAGAAGUUCACCCACGAAAGUGGCUUUAUUUAAUCUGACCCCACGAAAGCUACGGAA
Molecule: ribosomal RNA, 169 nt
Filed under: Zaniolepis frenata (shortspine combfish)
Lineage: Eukaryota; Metazoa; Chordata; Actinopteri; Perciformes; Zaniolepididae
Also listed under: 1 other name
Description: partial small subunit ribosomal RNA
Source: RNAcentral